Molecule: ribosomal RNA, 882 nt
Filed under: uncultured fungus
Lineage: Eukaryota; Fungi
Description: eukaryotic LSU rRNA
Rfam family: 5.8S ribosomal RNA (bases 433-586)
Source: RNAcentral
UUCUUGGUCAUUUAGAGGAAGUAAAAGUCGUAACAAGGUUUCCGUAGGUGAACUUGCGGAAGGAUCAUUAAAGAAAUUUAAUAAUUUUGAAAAUGGAUUUUUUUGUUUUGGCAAGAGCAUGAGAGCUUUUACUGGGCAAGAAGACAAGAGAUGGAGAGUCCAGCCGGGCCUGCGCUUAAGUGCGCGGUCUUGCUAGGCUUGUAAGUUUCUUUCUUGCUAUUCCAAACGGUGAGAGAUUUCUGUGCUUUUGUUAUAGGACAAUUAAAACCGUUUCAAUACAACACACUGUGGAGUUUUCAUAUCUUUGCAACUUUUUCUUUGGGCAUUCGAGCAAUCGGGGCCCAGAGGUAACAAACACAAACAAUUUUAUCUAUUCAUUAAAUUUUUGUCAAAAACAAGAAUUUUCGUAACUGGAAAUUUUAAAAUAUUAAAAACUUUCAACAACGGAUCUCUUGGUUCUCGCAUCGAUGAAGAACGCAGCGAAAUGCGAUACGUAAUGUGAAUUGCAGAAUUCCGUGAAUCAUCGAAUCUUUGAACGCACAUUGCGCCCCUUGGUAUUCCAGGGGGCAUGCCUGUUUGAGCGUCAUUUCCUUCUCAAACAUUCUGUUUGGUAGUGAGUGAUACUCUUUGGAGUUAACUUGAAAUUGCUGGCCUUUUCAUUGGAUGUUUUUUUUCCAAAGAGAGGUUUCUCUGCGUGCUUGAGGUAUAAUGCAAGUACGGUCGUUUUAGGUUUUACCAACUGCGGCUAAUCUUUUUUUAUACUGAGCGUAUUGGAACGUUAUCGAUAAGAAGAGAGCGUCUAGGCGAACAAUGUUCUUAAAGUUUGACCUCAAAUCAGGUAGGAGUACCCGCUGAACUUAAGCAUAUCAAUAAGCGGAGGAA